This is a long non-coding RNA of Esox lucius (northern pike), 679 nucleotides long. Lineage: Eukaryota; Metazoa; Chordata; Actinopteri; Esociformes; Esocidae. The record is from Ensembl.
GGACGGUGUGACUUGGAGCAGUCUGCCCGAGGGAUCCCCAGGUACGGGGCUGUGGACGUUGCGACUUGGAGCAGUCUGCCCGAGGGACCCCCAGGUACGGGGCUGUGGACGGUGCGACUUGGAGCAGUCUGCCCGAGGGACCACCAGGUACGGGGCUGUGGACGGUGCGACUUGGAGCAGCCUGCCCGAGGGAUCCCCAGGUACGGGGCUGUGGACGGUGCGACUUGGAGCAUUCUGCCCGAGGGAUCCCCAGGUACAGGGCUGUGGAUGGUGUGACUUGGAGCAGCCUGCCCGAGGGACCCCCAGGUACUGGGCUGCAGACGGUGCGACUUGGAGCAGCCUGCCCGAGGGACCCCCAGGUACAGGGCUGCAGACGGUGCGACUUGGAGCAGCCUGCCCGAGGGAUCCCCAGGUACGGGGCUGUGGACGGCGCGACUUGGAGCAAUCUGCCCGAGGGAUCCCCAGGUACGGGGCUGUGGACGGUGCGACUUGGAGAAGUCUGCCCGAGGGAUCCCCAGGUACGGGGCUGGGCUGCCACUGGGCUGGCAGGGCCUUGACAUACUAAUAUUUUAUUUUCCCUCAGCACAUGAGACGGGUAAUUAAUUAACUCAGUGCAGCCCAGACUGAGCCAGUAGUGCAUAUCUGACUCCCUGAAGCAUCUUUUCAAGAGAGAAAAAAA